AUCGCUUCUCGGCCUUUUGUCUAAGAUCAUGUGUAGUGUCUGUUCUAAAGUCAGUACUUGACAGGUUGCUCUGGCUAUAACCUUCCUGUUUUAGUGGUUUAUAGGCUAGCAUGUGGGAAACCUUAAAAGUGCACUUUCAUUUCUCUUUCGUGUAUAUACAUGAUUCUGUUGGUAUUACAAUUCUAUGCAGCACUU
This is a small nuclear RNA of Ochotona princeps (American pika), 195 nucleotides long. RefSeq annotates it as U2 spliceosomal RNA. The transcript has a single exon. Lineage: Eukaryota; Metazoa; Chordata; Mammalia; Lagomorpha; Ochotonidae. The record is from RefSeq and is a predicted model, not a curated record.